RNAcentral lists this unclassified non-coding RNA (205 nucleotides) under uncultured Basidiomycota. RNAcentral describes it as "sequence contains ITS2". Lineage: Eukaryota; Fungi; Basidiomycota. The record is from RNAcentral.
GACCUCUCAACCGCUUUGGUAUUCGAUUACAAAAGUCGGCUUGGAACGUGGGUGCCGGCAGUACGUCUCGCGACGUGCGCCCACCCGAAAGUCAAUUUGGGCCAAUCGCGCGAGCGACGGUUUGACCAAAGUGUUGUAAGGUUCGCCUCGCUUUGGGACGUCGCCCUGUGUCACCCGGCGCUAAUACGCAUACGAUACUAUAUGA